CUCCACAGCAGUUUCAUUGUCGUUGGCCUUUAACAUGAUUUUUCUACGAUUUUCUUCUCUUCUAACUGCUGCAAACCCUUCUCAUGUAGUUCGUAAUGGUUGCCCGCCUAGUAUUCUUUCCCUGGCAUCAUCCAAAUCGCGGUUGAGGCCUGCUAGAAACUCAAAAACCCUUUCGUUCUCUACCCCUUUUAGAGCGUACACAAUCACUGAUACAUUCCCAUUCUUCCUAAGAAUGAGGUCGAGUUCUUGCCACAAGUUUGUCAUCUCAAGGAAAUAAUCUAUAACCUCUCUCUCCCCCCUUGUUUGGUUUGCCACAAUCGAGUCUUUAUCUCGAAGAUUUGUGAGGCAUUUUCUCCAUCGAAGUAUGUCUCCUUCACUGCCUUCGCGACUUCCUCCACCAUCCGUAGGAAUAGGUAAGUUUUACCUAUGGACGAAAUCGUGGAAUUAACAAGCUAGGCGGUUAUCAAUGAAUUUUCCAAUUUCCAUUUUUGAAGAGUGGUCUUUGUUGGUUUCUUGGUCUCGCCAAUGAGGUAACCAAGCUUCCCUUUGCUUUCGAUCAUUAAUUUGAUAGAUUGGGCCCACUCUAAAAAAUUUCUUCCAUUCAGUUUUUUGAUAGUGAGCUGAAAGGAUGAAUUUCGGUGUGGUGGGAGCCCAUAGAGGAUCUGGCAUCAGUUUCAUUCUAAAAAACUUCUGUGGUGGUAGAAUUCUUACUGUUUUUUGUCAUGACUUUGAUACCAUGUAGAAGAUAAUGAACCACACUUUUUUCUAUGUGGAUUAAUUUUAUUAAUCCUUGGGUCCUG
Molecule: long non-coding RNA, 800 nt
Filed under: Olea europaea subsp. europaea
Lineage: Eukaryota; Viridiplantae; Streptophyta; Magnoliopsida; Lamiales; Oleaceae
Source: RNAcentral